RNAcentral lists this transfer RNA (68 nucleotides) under Marmota monax (woodchuck). RNAcentral describes it as "tRNA.Ala". The record is from RNAcentral. Lineage: Eukaryota; Metazoa; Chordata; Mammalia; Rodentia; Sciuridae.
GGAUUGUGGUUCAGCGGUAGAGCGCUUGCCUAGCAUGUGUGAGGCCCUGGGUUCGAUCCUCAACACCA